RNAcentral lists this ribosomal RNA (368 nucleotides) under uncultured organism. RNAcentral describes it as "bacterial SSU rRNA". It matches the Rfam family "Bacterial small subunit ribosomal RNA", at positions 526 to 896 of the family's 1533-position model. The record is from RNAcentral.
CGGAGGAUCCAAGCGUUAUCCGGAUUUAUUGGGUUUAAAGGGUGCGUAGGCGGCUUAUUAAGUCAGGGGUGAAAGACGGUGGCUCAACCAUCGCAGUGCCCUUGAUACUGAUGAGCUUGAAUGGACUAGAGGUAGGCGGAAUGUGACAAGUAGCGGUGAAAUGCAUAGAUAUGUCACAGAACACCGAUUGCGAAGGCAGCUUACUAUGGUUUAAUUGACGCUGAGGCACGAAAGCGUGGGGAUCAAACAGGAUUAGAUACCCUGGUAGUCCACGCCCUAAACGAUGAAUACUCGCUGUUAGCGAUAUACAGUUAGCGGCUAAGCGAAAGCGUUAAGUAUUCCACCUGGGGAGUACGCCCGCAAGGGUG